UACGUAGGGGGCUAGCGUUGUCCGGAUUUAUUGGGCGUAAAGAGCGUGUAGGCGGCCAUGUAGGUCCGGUGUGAAAACUCGCGGCUUAACCUCGAGAUGUCAUCGGAAACCAUUUGGCUAGAGUCCGGAAGAGGAGAGUGGAAUUCCUGGUGUAGCGGUGAAAUGCGCAGAUAUCAGGAAGAACACCAAUGGCGAAAGCAGCUCUCUGGGACGGUACUGACGCUGAGACGCGAAAGCGUGGGGAGCGAACAGG
RNAcentral lists this ribosomal RNA (253 nucleotides) under uncultured bacterium. RNAcentral's name for it is "partial 16S ribosomal RNA". It matches the Rfam family "Bacterial small subunit ribosomal RNA", at positions 524 to 776 of the family's 1533-position model. The record is from RNAcentral.